AUUAACGCUAGCGGCAGGCAUAAUACAUGCAAGUUGAACGGCAGCACAGGUAGCAAUACUGAGUGGCGAGUGGCGCACGGGUGCGUAACACGUAUGCAACCUACCCUAUACAGGCGAAUAACCUUUAGAAAUGAGGGCUAAUACGCCGUAGUAUUACAGAUGGGCAUCUAUUUGUAAUUAAAGAUUUAUCGGUAUAGGAUGGGCAUGCGUCCCAUUAGUUAGUUGGUAAGGUAACGGCUUACCAAGACGAUGAUGGGUA
RNAcentral lists this ribosomal RNA (259 nucleotides) under uncultured bacterium. Its description in RNAcentral is "partial 16S ribosomal RNA". It matches the Rfam family "Bacterial small subunit ribosomal RNA", at positions 29 to 285 of the family's 1533-position model. The record is from RNAcentral.